GUCUUGUAAUUGGAAUGAUGGUGACCUAAACCCUCACCAGAGUAACAAUUGGAGGGCAAGUCUGGUGCCAGCAGCCGCGGUAAUUCCAGCUCCAAUAGCGUAUAUUAAACUUGUUGCAGUUAAAAAGCUCGUAGUUGAAUUUCUGCGUUAUCGAGUUAUUGACUCUUGUCUUUAAUCGAUUUCGCUUUUGGGAUUUAUCCCUUUUUACUUUGAGAAAAUUAGAGUGUUUCAAGCAGACUUUUGUCUUGAAUACUUCAGCAUGGAAUAAUAGAGUAGGACUUUGGUUCUAUUUUGUUGGUUUUUGAACCUUAGUAAUGGUUAAUAGGAACGGUUGGGGGCAUUCGUAUUUAACUGUCAGAGGUGAAAUUCUUAGAUUUGUUAAAGACGAACUACUGCGAAAGCAUUUGCCAAGGACGUUUCCAUUAAUCAAGAACGAAAGUUAGGGGAUCGAAGACGAUCAGAUACCGUCGUAGUCCUAACCAUAAACUA
This 489-nucleotide ribosomal RNA is filed under the name Babesia venatorum (nom. ined.). Its description in RNAcentral is "SSU rRNA". It matches the Rfam family "Eukaryotic small subunit ribosomal RNA", at positions 500 to 1039 of the family's 1831-position model. Lineage: Eukaryota; Apicomplexa; Aconoidasida; Piroplasmida; Babesiidae. The record is from RNAcentral.